Molecule: ribosomal RNA, 571 nt
Filed under: Didymella glomerata
Lineage: Eukaryota; Fungi; Ascomycota; Dothideomycetes; Pleosporales; Didymellaceae
Description: eukaryotic LSU rRNA
Rfam family: Eukaryotic large subunit ribosomal RNA
Source: RNAcentral
GCAUAUCAAUAAGCGGAGGAAAAGAAACCAACAGGGAUUGCCCUAGUAACGGCGAGUGAAGCGGCAACAGCUCAAAUUUGAAAUCUGGCGUCUUCGGCGUCCGAGUUGUAAUUUGCAGAGGGCGCUUUGGCAUUGGCAGCGGUCCAAGUUCCUUGGAACAGGACGUCACAGAGGGUGAGAAUCCCGUACGUGGUCGCUAGCCUUUACCGUGUAAAGCCCCUUCGACGAGUCGAGUUGUUUGGGAAUGCAGCUCUAAAUGGGAGGUAAAUUUCUUCUAAAGCUAAAUACUGGCCAGAGACCGAUAGCGCACAAGUAGAGUGAUCGAAAGAUGAAAAGCACUUUGGAAAGAGAGUUAAAAAGCACGUGAAAUUGUUGAAAGGGAAGCGCUUGCAGCCAGACUUGCCUGUAGUUGCUCAUCCGGGUUUUUACCCGGUGCACUCUUCUAUAGGCAGGCCAGCAUCAGUUUGGGCGGUUGGAUAAAGGUCUCUGUCAUGUACCUCUCUUCGGGGAGAACUUAUAGGGGAGACGACAUGCAACCAGCCUGGACUGAGGUCCGCGCAUCUGCUAGGAU